RNAcentral lists this long non-coding RNA (374 nucleotides) under Eucalyptus grandis. RNAcentral's name for it is "long non-coding RNA (EGRA_LNC003007)". The record is from RNAcentral. Lineage: Eukaryota; Viridiplantae; Streptophyta; Magnoliopsida; Myrtales; Myrtaceae.
UCCGGUCUUUGUUUAGUGCAAGUGAGUUUUACUCACUAAUGCUUUAUUAGUAGACUAAUAUGCCUAAGGGUUAAUUAGAUUUAAUUAAUUGCAAUUAGGUGGAUAGAUUAGAUUAAAAUAAUUAAAUUAGAGACUUGUUAAUGCAUGUUAGUUAAAUUGAUGGUGUAAUUAGUAGGUAGACAUGUCCUAUUAAUUAUUGAAGGCAUCUUGGGAUUUUUCCCGUCCCUUAUUGGGUAUUAUUUAAGCAAUUCGAGCCUAGAAGGAAUUUUUAGGAAUUUAAUAUUAAUUUCCAAAUUAAUUAAUUUAAUUAUUUAUUUCCCGAAAAUUCAACUGGGAUGGCCAGUGAUCGGGAUUUUAUGCUGAUGAUCGUGGUG